RNAcentral lists this long non-coding RNA (2660 nucleotides) under Homo sapiens (human). RNAcentral describes it as "HSALNT0391387". Lineage: Eukaryota; Metazoa; Chordata; Mammalia; Primates; Hominidae. The record is from RNAcentral.
CUCUACCCCUCCAGCCUCCUGUGGCUUCACAGGCAAGUGCCGCAUCCCAGGAAGAAGGAGUUGGAGCUCCGUGAUGUUCUGGAAGCUGAGAAGUCUAAGGUCAAGACUCCAGUGGAUUACGCAUCUGGCGAGAGCCUACUUCCUGGUUUGUAGGUGGUGUCUUCUCUCUGUGUCCUCACAUGGCAUAAGGGAAAAGGGACCCCUCUGGGAUCUAUUUUUAUAAGGGUACUAAUCCCCUGCAUGAGGGCUCCUGCCUCAAGACCUAAUGUAUUGUCCAUUUUCAUGCUGCUGAUAAAGACAUACCUGAGACUGGGCAAUCUACAAAAGAAAGAAGUUUAAUGGACUUACAGGUUCACGUAGCUGGGGAAGCCUCACAAUCAUGGCAGAAGGCAAGGAGAAGCAAGUUACAUCUUACAUGGGCAGCAGCAGGUAAAGAGGGAGAGCUUGUGCAGGGAAACUCCCAUUUUUAAAACCAUCGUCUCGCAUGAGACUUACUCACUAUCACGAGAACAGCACGGGAAAGACCUGCCCCCAUGAUUCAAUUACCUCCCACCAGGUCCCUCCCACAACACAUGGGAAUUCAAGAUAAGAUUUGGAUGGAGACACAGCAAAACAAUAUCACCUAAUCACCUCCCAAAGGCCCUACCUCCAAAUACCAUCGCAGUGGGGAUUAGAUUUGAAGAUAAGAAUUCUGGGAGGACACAGACAUUCAGUCUACAGGGGACAAUAUGGAAACAAAUGGGCAUGGCUCCAUUCCAGUAACACUUUAUAUGCACUGCAAUUUAAAUUUCAUAUCGUUUUCAUGUCAUAAAAUAUUUUUUAUUUGUUUUCCAAACGUUAAAAAACAUAAAAACUAUCUUUUUUUUUUUUUAAUCUCAUUAGCCAUUCAAAAACAGAUGAGAUGGGGACAGAUUUAACCCAAAGGACAUAGUUCAACUCCUGGUCUUGACAGAGGAGAAGCCCUCAAAGGUAAAUCUUACUAAUUUUUGAGCUUUAUUAUCUAAUCCCUCAAAGGUAAUUCAUCCUUGAGUUUAACUAUCUAGCAUUAACUGAUACAAAAAAUGCAUAUAAAUGUACAAUUUACCCUUGAACAAGAAAGAUAGGUUGACCUGUGCAGGUCCACUUACACUUGGAUUUUCUUCUGCUUCUGCUACUCUUGAGACAGCAAGACCAACCCCUCCUCUUCCUCUUCCUCCUCAGCCUACUCAAUGUGAAGACAAUAAGGAUGAAGACCAUUAAUGAUGUUCUGCUUCCACUUAAUGAAUAAUAAAUAUAUUUUCUCUUCUUUAUGAUUUUCUUAAUAACAUUUCUCAAGUCUAUUGUAAGAAUACAGUGUAUAAUACAUAUAAUGUACAAAACUUGUAUAAUCAACUGUUUCUGUUACCAAUAAGACAGUAGCCUAUUAGUAGUUAAGUUUUUGGGGGGUCAAAAGUUACAUGCCAAUUUUUGACUGCAUGGGGUGUUGGGGCCCCUAGUCCCUGCAUUGUUUAAGGGUCAACUGUAAUAACAACUAUAAACAACUGAAUGACUUUUUGAUUACAAAAAAUUCCUUGAGACAAAGCCUGAAUAGAACAACCAUAAAUGUGGCUUUGGGGACACUGUUGCGGCUUCAUGUUUCAUCAUGACUAGAGAUAUAAUACCUUAAGUAGUUAGCCACCAACACUCCAAUCGCAAAUUCUGGAGGUCUGGGAUUAUUCCACAAAUCACUGGGUAGAUGCAAACCUUCUAGAGAAGUCUAGUAUCAGCAGAGUAAAACAAUCUCCUUUUAAAAAUAAGAUUUCUUUAUCACUCCCUGCUUUCACGCAAUCACAGCUUCUUUUUAUUUACUUAUUUAUUUUUUAGAUGGAGUCUCACUCUGUUGCCAGGCUAGAAUACAAUGGCACGAACUUGGCUCACUGCAACCUCCGCCUCCUGGGUUCAAGAGAUUCUCCUGCCUCAGCGUCCUGAGUUGCUGGGACUACGGGCACACACCAUCAUGCCCAGCUAAUUUUUGUAUUUUUAGUAGAGACAGGGUUUCACCAUGUUGACCAGGAUGGUCUCGAUCUCUUGACCUCGUGAUCUGCCCACGUCGGCCUCCCAAAGUCCUGGGAUUACAGGCAUGAGCCAGUGCGCCUAGCAAACGACAGCUUUUUGAGCCUCUGUUUAACAAUCUCUUAAACCUUAUAGGUAGGCAGUUCUGAGACAGCUCCUAAUCAUCUCCCCUCCUGGUAUUCAAGCCCUGAUGGAAUACUCUCUUCUUCAAUGUGAGCUGGACUUAGUGGUUUUCUUCUAAUCCAUUGAAUACACACAAGUGAUGAGCUGUCAUUUCCAAAAUUAGUUCACACAAAGCUGUAACUUUUGUUUUGUUCACAGCCUCUCUCAAUUGCCUUCUCAGCUUGUAUGCUUUGAAGAAGCAAGCUGCAGUGUUGGAGAGGCCCAUGUGGCAAGGAAAUGAGGGUGGCCUCCAGUCAAUGGCUGGUGAGAAACUGAGACCUUCCUUCCAACAAUUGUCAAGUAACUGAAUACUCCCAACAAUCAUAUGGGUUAGGUUAGAAGUGAACCUUUCUCUAGUUGAGGUUUCAGAUAAGACCACAGAUAUUAUACUAACACCUUGAUUGCAGGCUUAUGAGAAACCUUGAAAUGAGAAGACUAAGUAAAACCAUAUCUGGAUUCCUGACUUG